Molecule: ribosomal RNA, 337 nt
Filed under: Hygrocybe coccinea
Lineage: Eukaryota; Fungi; Basidiomycota; Agaricomycetes; Agaricales; Hygrophoraceae
Description: eukaryotic LSU rRNA
Rfam family: 5.8S ribosomal RNA (bases 1-105)
Source: RNAcentral
GAAAUGCGAUACGUAAUGUGAAUUGCAGAAUUCCGUGAAUCAUCGAAUCUUUGAACGCACCUUGCGUCCCUUGGUAUUCCGAGGGGCAUGCCUGUUUGAGUGUCAUUGAAUUAUCUCAACUUGACCCCUUGCGGUUCGAGCUUGGAAUUUGGGGUGUGCUGGCCCUUGCGUUGGGUCGGCUCCUCUGAAAAGUAUUAGCGACGAAGCUCAACCCCCUUUCUUCACGCUGCGGCAUUGAUAGCAUUUGUCUAUGUCUCGCUGAAGGAAGGCCCGCUUACAAAAUGGGUUUACUUUGACCAUUUACCUCAAAUCAGGUAGGACUACCCGCUGAACUUAA